AACGAACGCUGGCGGCAUGCCUAACACAUGCAAGUCGAACGAUACCUUCGGGCAGAUUGGUGCACCGCUGACUAACGCGUGGGAACCUGCCCUUAGGUUCGGAAUAACCUGCCGAAGGGGGUUCUAAUCCCGGAACAUGUCCUCAGACCAAAGAUGUAUGGCCUUUGGAUGGGCCGGCGUCGGAUUAGCUAGUUGGUAGGGUAAGAGCCUAUGAAGGCGACGAUCCAUAGCUGGUCUGAGAGGAUGAUCAGCCACACUGUGACUGGGACACGGCCGAGACUACUACGGGAGGGGGCAGAGGGGAAUGUUGGAAUAUGGCGGGUAGGAUGAAGCAGCUAGGGUGGGAGAGUGAUGUAGGCCGGAGGGUAGGAAAGAUCUUUUACACGGGAGGAUAUUGACGGUACCGGGAGAAGAAGCACCGGCUAACUCCGUG
This 433-nucleotide ribosomal RNA is filed under the name uncultured bacterium. RNAcentral's name for it is "partial 16S ribosomal RNA". It matches the Rfam family "Bacterial small subunit ribosomal RNA", at positions 29 to 507 of the family's 1533-position model. The record is from RNAcentral.